This is a long non-coding RNA of Nelumbo nucifera (sacred lotus), 1036 nucleotides long. RefSeq lists it as uncharacterized. The record is from RefSeq and is a predicted model, not a curated record. Lineage: Eukaryota; Viridiplantae; Streptophyta; Magnoliopsida; Proteales; Nelumbonaceae.
UGUCAUCAGAAGAAAGUAGGGCAAAAAGUAGUUGUAGAUCAUUUUCAAACUUAAGGCAGCAAUUGUCAACAUCUUUGUAAGGUGAUAGCUGGAUAUGUUGAAAAGUUACUAUUCUAAGAAUGAAAGGCAAGGAAUCAUACGUGUCCUUAUUCAUCCUCUUUUCUAUCAGGCAUGACAAGGAUGGCCACUUCAUAGGUUAUGUGUCCUCGUGGGGCAAAGCAAUAACAAGCUAAUAGCAGAUCCUAAGGCAUUAUGUGGCAUCCAUCAUUACUGCAGAUAUCACAUCACUGUCAAAAUAAUACUCUCUUCUUCAAAUUGUAUUGCAGAGUGACCUUUUAUCUGUCAUUUGAGUUGGAAGCAACUGUUGUGAACUUGGUUUCUGGAGCGAAGCCUGCAGAUGUAUAUUCAGAAAUAGCAGCUAGGUUUGCAAGAGGUGACUUGAUGGUGAUGAGUUUAUCAUAUCAUCAAUGACAAAAGUUGCAAAUUGCUUUAAAGGAUGCACAAUUUUACUUAAGAAAGGCUAUAGGUUGGCAGAUCUCAUGAAUCAUAAUUUUGGUAUUCGAAAGGCGGAUGUUUGGGGAUGAAGCCCUUGGUUCUAUGGACAUAGAGGUGGCUAGAAAGGUGGGAGCUGCAUCAAAAUUUACUAAGAGAUGGAGCUGUGAUUGCUUUCUGUCCAGAUGGAUGAAGCUUCUUGAAGAUGCUUGCCAUAAGGCAGGAUUUAUUGUUCAGCCAGAAGUAGUCCCUUCUUUUCUAUAUGAUGUUGAUCUCAAGACUCUCCACCAAAUGACUAGUUGUAUAUUUAUAGAGAACUCUGGUGUUGAUGGUGUCUUUUUCAUGCUUGUCUUAUUUACUAGAGUCGGCCAUUCGUUUUUGACAUCCAUGUUUUUCUAUUUAUUUAAUAGUAAUAAAUUAUCUUGUUCUUCACAUCAAUCAUUGUUGUAUUUCUUUUCAAUGAUCAUCUCCUUAAAUUAAUUUGCUGAAUUAGUGAAUUCCUGUAUCUAUUUGAGAUGCUGAUUUUGGUUGUUGGCCUACAUGA